GCGGCCAUAGCUUAGUCUGGUUCAAAGCGCCUGAUUGUCGAUCAGGAGAUCAGGGGUUCAAAUCCCCUUGGCCGCG
Molecule: transfer RNA, 76 nt
Filed under: Candidatus Sungbacteria bacterium RIFCSPHIGHO2_02_FULL_41_12b
Lineage: Bacteria; Candidatus Sungiibacteriota
Also listed under: 1 other name
Description: tRNA-Asp
Rfam family: tRNA
About the family: Transfer RNA (tRNA) molecules are approximately 80 nucleotides in length. Their secondary structure includes four short double-helical elements and three loops (D, anti-codon, and T loops). Further hydrogen bonds mediate the characteristic L-shaped molecular structure. tRNAs have two regions of fundamental functional importance: the anti-codon, which is responsible for specific mRNA codon recognition, and the 3' end, to which the tRNAs corresponding amino acid is attached (by aminoacyl-tRNA synthetases). tRNAs cope with the degeneracy of the genetic code in two manners: having more than one tRNA (with a specific anti-codon) for a particular amino acid; and 'wobble' base-pairing, i.e. permitting non-standard base-pairing at the 3rd anti-codon position.
Source: RNAcentral